AAGGCCUUAGCUUAAUUAAAGCGUUUGAUUUGCAUUUAAAGGAUACAGGUUAAUAUCCUGUAGGUCUUA
This 69-nucleotide transfer RNA is filed under the name Rollulus rouloul (Crested partridge). Its description in RNAcentral is "tRNA-Ala". It matches the Rfam family "tRNA". Rfam says of the family: Transfer RNA (tRNA) molecules are approximately 80 nucleotides in length. Their secondary structure includes four short double-helical elements and three loops (D, anti-codon, and T loops). Lineage: Eukaryota; Metazoa; Chordata; Aves; Galliformes; Phasianidae. The record is from RNAcentral.